UAAAGCUCUUUUGUCAGGGAAGAAACGGUAGGGGCUAAUAUCUUUUGCUAAUGACGGUACCUGAAGAAUAAGCACCGGCUAACUACGUGCCAGCAGCCGCGGUAAUACGUAGGGUGCAAGCGUUAAUCGGAAUUACUGGGCGUAAAGCGUGCGCAGGCGGUUUUGUAAGUCUGACGUGAAAGCCCCGGGCUCAACCUGGGAAUUGCGUUGGAGACUGCAAGGCUUGAAUCUGGCAGAGGGGGGUAGAAUUCCACGUGUAGCAGUGAAAUGCGUAGAGAUGUGGAGGAACACCGAUGGCGAAGGCAGCCCCCUGGGUCAAGAUUGACGCUCAUGCACGAAAGCGUGGGGA
Molecule: ribosomal RNA, 349 nt
Filed under: Burkholderiales bacterium
Lineage: Bacteria; Pseudomonadati; Pseudomonadota; Betaproteobacteria; Burkholderiales
Description: bacterial SSU rRNA
Rfam family: Bacterial small subunit ribosomal RNA
Source: RNAcentral